AGUGAACGCUGGCGGUAGGCCUAACACAUGCAAGUCGAACGGCAGCACAGUAAGAGCUUGCUCUUACGGGUGGCGAGUGGCGGACGGGUGAGGAAUACAUCGGAAUCUACUUUUUCGUGGGGGAUAACGUAGGGAAACUUACGCUAAUACCGCAUACGACCUACGGGUGAAAGCAGGGGAUCUUCGGACCUUGUGCGAUUGAAUGAGCCGAUGUCGGAUUAGCUAGUUGGCGGGGUAAAGGCCCACCAAGGCGACGAUCCGUAGCUGGUCUGAGAGGAUGAUCAGCCACACUGGAACUGAGACACGGUCCAGACUCCUAGGGUGGGCCGCAGUGGGGAAUAUUGGGCAAUGGGCGCGAGCCUGAUCCAGCCAUACCGCGUGGGUGAAGAAGGCCUUCGGGUUGUAGAGCCCUUUUGUUGGGAGAGAAAAGCAGCAGGUUAAUACCCCGCUGUUCUGACGGUACCCAAAGAAUAAGCACCGGCUAACUUCGUG
RNAcentral lists this ribosomal RNA (492 nucleotides) under uncultured bacterium. RNAcentral's name for it is "partial 16S ribosomal RNA". It matches the Rfam family "Bacterial small subunit ribosomal RNA", at positions 29 to 507 of the family's 1533-position model. The record is from RNAcentral.